UACGUAGGGUGCAAGCGUUAAUCGGAAUUACUGGGCGUAAAGCGUGCGCAGGCGGUUAUGCAAGACAGAUGUGAAAUCCCCGGGCUUAACCUGGGAACCGCAUUUGUGACUGCAUAGCUGGAGUACGGCAGAGGGGGAUGGAAUUCCGCGUGUAGCAGUGAAAUGCGUAGAUAUGCGGAGGAACACCGAUGGCGAAGGCAGCCCCCUGGGCCAACACUGACGCUCAGGCACGAAAGCGUGGGGAGCAAACAGG
This 253-nucleotide ribosomal RNA is filed under the name uncultured bacterium. RNAcentral describes it as "partial 16S ribosomal RNA". It matches the Rfam family "Bacterial small subunit ribosomal RNA", at positions 524 to 776 of the family's 1533-position model. The record is from RNAcentral.